GUUCGAUUAAAGGGACUGUUGAAGACAUUGCCAAUGUCCCAGCAGGAGUAUUUAACAAUGUUUCAGGAACUGUUGAAGGAACUGUCAAAGAUAUAACAAA
This is a long non-coding RNA of Zophobas morio, 100 nucleotides long. RefSeq lists it as uncharacterized. The record is from RefSeq and is a predicted model, not a curated record. NCBI's taxonomy places the organism in Eukaryota, Metazoa, Arthropoda, Insecta, Coleoptera, Tenebrionidae. The transcript is spliced from 4 exons.